RNAcentral lists this ribosomal RNA (504 nucleotides) under uncultured bacterium. RNAcentral describes it as "bacterial SSU rRNA". It matches the Rfam family "Bacterial small subunit ribosomal RNA", at positions 29 to 524 of the family's 1533-position model. The record is from RNAcentral.
AUUGAACGCUGGCGGCGUGCCUAACACAUGCAAGUCGAGCGGUAACAGGUGUAGCAAUACAUGCUGACGAGCGGCGGACGGGUGAGUAACGCUUGGGAAUCUGCCUAUUAGUGGGGGACAACCCGGGGAAACUCGGGCUAAUACCGCAUACGCUCUACGGAGGAAAGCCGGGGACCGCAAGGCCUGGCGCUAAUAGAUGAGCCCAAGUCGGAUUAGCUAGUUGGUAGGGUAANGGCCUACCAAGGCGACGAUCCGUAACUGGUCUGAGAGGACGACCAGUCACACCGGAACUGAGACACGGUCCGGGACUCCUACGGGAGGCAGCAGUGGGGAAUAUUGGACAAUGGGCGAAAGCCUGAUCCAGCGACGCCGCGUGGGUGAAGAAGGCCUGCGGGUUGUAAAGCCCUUUCAGUGGGGAAGAAAAGCCUCGACCUAACACGUCGGGGUCUUGACGUAACCCAUAGAAGAAGCACCGGCUAACUCUGUGCCAGCAGCCGCAGUAAU